UAAAUAUAAAGCGCCAGAACUCUUAUGAGUUGACGAGGAUGGGGAGUAUCGAAUUCUUCGGCGGGUGCCCCACGGUAUCGCACUACCGUUAGCGACUAGUAAAACUAUGAAGCGAUUUGUAGGACAG
This 127-nucleotide non-coding RNA is filed under the name Clostridium saudiense. RNAcentral describes it as "glmS glucosamine-6-phosphate activated ribozyme". It matches the Rfam family "glmS glucosamine-6-phosphate activated ribozyme aptamer", at positions 1 to 147 of the family's 167-position model. From Rfam's summary of the family: This entry contains a glucosamine-6-phosphate activated ribozyme that is found in the mRNA for GlmS. GlmS is an enzyme that uses fructose-6-phosphate and glutamine to generate glucosamine-6-phosphate. The ribozyme catalyses self cleavage of the glmS mRNA that is thought to regulate GlmS activity. RNAcentral also lists the same sequence under 1 other name. The record is from RNAcentral. Lineage: Bacteria; Bacillati; Bacillota; Clostridia; Eubacteriales; Clostridiaceae.